AGCGAACGCUGGCGGCAGGCCUAACACAUGCAAGUCGAACGCCCCUUCGGGGAGUGGCGGACGGGUGAGUAACGCGUGGGAACGUGCUCUUUGGUACGGAACAACUGAGGGAAACUUCAGCUAAUACCGUAUGUGCCCCUAUUCUUAGCGGGAUGGGUGGGAAAGAUUUAUCGCCAUUGGAGCGGCCCGCGUUAGAUUAGCUAGUUGGUAGGGUAAUGGCCUACCAAGGCGACGAUCUAUAGCUGGUCUGAGAGGAUGAUCAGCCACACUGGGACUGAGACACGGCCCAGACUCCUACGGGAGGCAGCAGUGGGGAAUCUUGCGCAAUGGGCGAAAGCCUGACGCAGCCAUGCCGCGUGAAUGAUGAAGGUCUUAGGAUUGUAAAAAUUCUUUCACCGGGGACGAUAAUGACGGUACCCGGAGAAGAAGCCCCGGCUAACUUCGUGCCAGCAGCCGCGGUAAAGUCUGUACU
This 472-nucleotide ribosomal RNA is filed under the name uncultured bacterium. Its description in RNAcentral is "bacterial SSU rRNA". It matches the Rfam family "Bacterial small subunit ribosomal RNA", at positions 29 to 531 of the family's 1533-position model. The record is from RNAcentral.